Molecule: ribosomal RNA, 538 nt
Filed under: fungal sp. S4 ZLY-2010
Lineage: Eukaryota; Fungi
Description: eukaryotic LSU rRNA
Rfam family: 5.8S ribosomal RNA (bases 175-328)
Source: RNAcentral
UUUUCCGUAGGUGAACCUGCGGAAGGAUCAUUACCUAGAGUUGUAGGCUUUGCCUGCUAUCUCUUACCCAUGUCUUUUGAGUACCUUACGUUUCCUCGGUGGGUUCGCCCACCGAUUGGACAAAUUUAAACCCUUUGCAGUUGAAAUCAGCGUCUGAAAAAACUUAAUAGUUACAACUUUCAACAACGGAUCUCUUGGUUCUGGCAUCGAUGAAGAACGCAGCGAAAUGCGAUAAGUAGUGUGAAUUGCAGAAUUCAGUGAAUCAUCGAAUCUUUGAACGCACAUUGCGCCCCUUGGUAUUCCAUGGGGCAUGCCUGUUCGAGCGUCAUUUGUACCUUCAAGCUCUGCUUGGUGUUGGGUGUUUGUCUCCUGUAGACUCGCCUCAAAACAAUUGGCAGCCGGCGUAUUGAUUUCGGAGCGCAGUACAUCUCGCGCUUUGCACUCAUAACGACGACAUCCAAAAGUACAUUUUUACACUCUUGACCUCGGAUCAGGUAGGGAUACCCGCUGAACUUAAGCAUAUCAAUAAGCGGAGGAA